UAGGGUUUGAUCAUGGCUCAGAUUGAACGCUGGCGGCACGCCUAACACAUGCAAGUCGAACGGCAGCGCGGAGAGCUUGCUCUCUGGCGGCGAGUGGCGAACGGGUGAGUAACGCGUAGGGAUCUGCCCCAAAGCCUGGGAUAACUCGGGGAAACUCGAGCUAAUACCGGAUGUGUUCUGAGGAAUAAAGCUGGCCUUGGCUGGCACUUUGGGAGGAACCUGCGUCAGAUUAGCUUGUUGGUGAGGUAAAGGCUCACCAAGGCUUCGAUCUGUAACUGGUCUGAGAGGACGAACAGUCACACUGGGACUGAGACACGGCCCAGACUCCUACGGGAGGCAGCAGUGGGGAAUAUUGGACAAUGGGGGCAACCCUGAUCCAGCGAUGCCGCGUGUGUGAAGAAGGCCUGCGGGUUGUAAAGCACUUUCGGCGGGGAGGAGAGAUUACCGUUUAAGAGAUGGUAGUUGAGACGUUACCCGCAAAAGAAGCACCGGCUAACUCUGUGCCAGCAGCCGCGGUAAGACAGAGGGUGCAAGCGUUAAUCGGACUUACUGGGCGUAAAGGGCGCGUAGGUGGAUAAAUAAGUUUGAUGUGAAAUCUCAGGGCUCAACCGUGAGGGGAGGUCGAAAACUGUUUAUCUUGAGUGCAAGAGAGGUCAGCGGAAUUUCCGGUGUAGCGGUGAAAUGCGUAGAUAUCGGAAGGAACACUCGUGGCGAAGGCGGCUGACUGGCUUGUAACU
This 737-nucleotide ribosomal RNA is filed under the name uncultured bacterium. RNAcentral describes it as "bacterial SSU rRNA". It matches the Rfam family "Bacterial small subunit ribosomal RNA", at positions 1 to 741 of the family's 1533-position model. The record is from RNAcentral.